UGCAGCUUGCUUCGGUGCGUCACUUGCUUCUUCCGGCGAGUUUCCGGCGAACUUCCGUCGAUCAUCCGAUGAACCCUCGGUGAUGCUCCUGCGGACUUCCGGCAAACUCCUGGACUGCGACGAUCCACUUGGCAAGUUCCGACGAGCUCCUUUGGCAAGAUUCUGGACUUCUCGGAUUUGUUCCCGCAGAACCUCCGACGAUUGUCCGAACUUCCGUCGAGCUC
Molecule: long non-coding RNA, 224 nt
Filed under: Musa acuminata (dwarf banana)
Lineage: Eukaryota; Viridiplantae; Streptophyta; Magnoliopsida; Zingiberales; Musaceae
Description: long non-coding RNA (MACU_LNC011334)
Source: RNAcentral